AAACUAGAUAUGACUUAGUGGCGGACGGGUGAGUAACACGUGAGCAACCUGCCUUUCAGAGGGGGAUAACGGCUGGAAACGACUGCUAAUACCGCAUGACACAUAGAGAUCGCAUGGUUUUAUGUCAAAGAUUUAUCGCUGAAAGAUGGCCUCGCGUCUGAUUAGCUAGUUGGUGAGGUAACGGCCCACCAAGGCGACGAUCAGUAGCCGGACUGAGAGGUUGACCGGCCACAUUGGGACUGAGAUACGGCCCAGACUCC
RNAcentral lists this ribosomal RNA (260 nucleotides) under uncultured Oscillospiraceae bacterium. Its description in RNAcentral is "partial 16S ribosomal RNA". It matches the Rfam family "Bacterial small subunit ribosomal RNA", at positions 64 to 339 of the family's 1533-position model. The record is from RNAcentral. Lineage: Bacteria; Bacillati; Bacillota; Clostridia; Eubacteriales; Oscillospiraceae. RNAcentral also lists the same sequence under 1 other name.